RNAcentral lists this ribosomal RNA (301 nucleotides) under uncultured bacterium. Its description in RNAcentral is "partial 16S ribosomal RNA". It matches the Rfam family "Bacterial small subunit ribosomal RNA", at positions 509 to 807 of the family's 1533-position model. The record is from RNAcentral.
CAGUCGCCGCGGUAAUACGGAGGGCGCGAGCGUUACCCGGAUUUACUGGGCGUAAAGGGCGUGUAGGCGGCCUGGGGCGUCCCAUGUGAAAGGCCACGGCUCAACCGUGGAGGAGCGUGGGAUACGCUCAGGCUAGAGGGUGGGAGAGGGUGGUGGAAUUCCCGGAGUAGUGGUGAAAUGCGCAGAUACCGGGAGGAACGCCGAUGGCGAAGGCAGCCACCUGGUCCACUUCUGACGCUGAGGCGCGAAAGCGUGGGGAGCAAACCGGAUUAGAUACCCGUGUAGUCCCUGUCUCUUAUAC